Paramuricea clavata is the source of this 984-nucleotide non-coding RNA. The record is from the annotation of a GenBank genome assembly. Lineage: Eukaryota; Metazoa; Cnidaria; Anthozoa; Malacalcyonacea; Plexauridae.
CCCAAUAUUAGGAUCAUUUUUCUUUACAGUAAGUGUUAAAUUACUUUUGAAAGACUAUUUAGAAGACUUAGGAGUUAUUUGCCUGUUUUUACAGAUUUUAUAUCUGGGCUGGUAUUACUAGCCUGCAUGCCCAUCUCCUCGACAUGCAUGUCUAUCUCCUUGGCAAGUGAAAUUGUCUGGUGGUAGAGACGAUUUUAAAAGAACAGCACAUUAUAAAGUGAUCAGAUUUUCUCACAGUGAAAAAUUCUAUGUUCCUUUUUAAUUACAGCAGUUCAGAUGUCGAUAUAGAAUUGAAAAAGGGCUUCUUCCUGAACAUCCAAGGGCAGGGCCAACUGAUGAUGUUGAAGAAUGAAGACAUUUUAGCAUGGAUUACUAGUAUAGAUUAUAGUAUCUCUUGUCCUUUAUGAUGUCUUUCUGAAAGUUAUUGGUGAAUACAAAUUGAGCUGUGAUCCCUCAACGUGGCCAACAACAUGCUCCACCAAAUACCUGAGCACAAUAUAGAAAGUGCACAUACAUGCAGGGAUGGAUUUACUGGGGGGGGGGGUGUGCACCCCCUAGCCCUGGCCAGAGGGGGUGCAGGAGGGUGCUAUUUUUUAUGAUAAAGCAAAAAAGACAAAAUGAGAUACAAUAAUUUGAGUAAUAACAUGAUGAUAAGUGAACUGUGAACAACAAUUACAAUUCAAAUACAGCAGUUGAUGGGUGGGCGGCACACAUGACCGACACAAUUCGGCAGUUGGCACCAGAGCACCCCCCUACCAGAUCAUGCUGGAUCCAUCCCUGCAUACAUGUACUGUAUCAUAUUUAAUUAAUGCUUGAGCAUAUUUGUUCAAAUUUAUUGACAUUAAUAAAUAAUUAAAUUAUGUUUGUUAUAGUAGUGUAGAUUUUGCACCAGCCACGCUUGAAAUUAGACGUCAGCCACUUUUUAACUAGAUGGCCAUGGAUGACCUUUAAAGAAAUUGUUUUCUUUAUUAAACAGCAACUUGC